Molecule: ribosomal RNA, 388 nt
Filed under: uncultured bacterium
Lineage: Bacteria
Description: bacterial SSU rRNA
Rfam family: Bacterial small subunit ribosomal RNA
Source: RNAcentral
AUUGAACGCUGGCGGCAUGCUUUACACAUGCAAGUCGAGCGGCAGCGCGAGGGCAACCUUGGCGGCGAGCGGCGAACGGGUGAGUAAUACAUCGGAACGUAUCCUUAAGUGGGGAGUAGCCCGGCGAAGCCGGAUUAAUACCGCAUAUUCUGUACGCAGGAAAGCGGGGGACCGUGAAAGGGCCUCGCGCUUGAGGAGCGGCCGAUGUCCGAUUAGCUAGUUGGUGAGGUAAAGGCUUACCAAGGCGACGAUCGGUAGCUGGUCUGAGAGGAUGAUCAGCCACACUGGGACUGAGACACGGCCCAGACUCCUACGGGAGGCAGCAGUUAGGAAUUUUGGGCAAUGGGCGCAAGCCUGACCCAGCAACGCCGCGUGGGUGACGAAGGCC